Molecule: long non-coding RNA, 359 nt
Organism: Nycticebus coucang (slow loris)
Lineage: Eukaryota; Metazoa; Chordata; Mammalia; Primates; Lorisidae
Exons: 2
Source: RefSeq, a predicted model, not a curated record
GCCAGGCGCAGUGGCUCAUGCCUGUAAUCCUAGCACUCUGGGAGAUCAAAGUUGUUGGAUUGCUUGAGCUCAGGAGUUCAAAACCAGCCUGAGCAAGGACAAGACCCCAUCUCUAAAAACAGCCGGGCAUUGUGGUGGGCACCUGUAGUCCCAGCUACUUGGGAGGCUGGGGUAAGAGGAUCACUUGAGCCCAAGAGUUUGAGGUUGCUGUGCCAUAGCACUCUAUCAAGGGCAACUGAGUGAGACUCUGUCUCAAAAAAAAAAACAACAAAAAAACUACAUGAAAACUAUCUACAAAAAUUUAUUGUCAAUUUACGAAGAAAAGCAUGCACGUCAUUAAAUAAAACAAAUAAAAUGCU